RNAcentral lists this long non-coding RNA (640 nucleotides) under Homo sapiens (human). RNAcentral's name for it is "HSALNT0233275". The record is from RNAcentral. Lineage: Eukaryota; Metazoa; Chordata; Mammalia; Primates; Hominidae.
GUCCCACCCCCUUUUCUUAGCAACGCCUAUCGCCUUAGACGUCUGAGGUCAGCCGAGCCUCGAUUGGUUCCUCUGUCUUUCACUCUGGGAGACGUUUGAGACCCAGCGUCUCUAGAUCUCGUAUUUGAAUUUGUGGCGCUUGGUGUCCGCGAGUUGCCGAAUGAAGCUGAGCGUCUCAGUGGAACCAGGGAUCUCAGGGAGGGGAAGGUAUAAAAUUUUCAAAUGGAGGAGUAUACCUGAACCUAAUCAUGGAUGUGAUUUUAUGUAAGUAAUAUGUGAGAUACAGAUAAGCUGAUUCUAAAACUUACAAGAAUGGCAAAGAAACAAGAAGAGCUUAAACUGCAAUCAUCAACAGAGAAGCUUUCUGCAACCAAAGUGAAGACUGAAGCCUUAGGCUAUGGCAGAAGUUGGGCGCCUGAAGUACACGUGGAAAUAUGCCAACUGAACAUUGGACUACCACGUCAAGGGUCUCCUACCCCUGGGCCAUGGAUCAAUACCAGUCUGUGACCUGUUAGGAACCGGUAGCAGGAGACAAGGUCUCACUCUGUUGCCCCAGCUGGAGUGCAGAUCUCGGCUCUCGGCUCACAGCAACUUCAGCCUCCUGGGUUGAAGCUAUCUUCCCACCUCAGCCUCAUGAUUA